This 254-nucleotide ribosomal RNA is filed under the name uncultured bacterium. Its description in RNAcentral is "partial 16S ribosomal RNA". It matches the Rfam family "Bacterial small subunit ribosomal RNA", at positions 524 to 776 of the family's 1533-position model. The record is from RNAcentral.
GACAGAGGGUGCAAACGUUGUUCGGAAUUACUGGGCGUAAAGCGAGUGUAGGCGGUCUCAAAAGUCGGGUGUGAAAGCCCUGGGCUCAACCCAGGAAGUGCACUCGAAACUGCGAGGCUAGAGUAUCGGAGAGGUUGGUGGAAUUCUCGGUGUAGAGGUGAAAUUCGUAGAUAUCUGGAGGAACACCGGUGGCGAAGGCGGCAUCCUGGACCAACACUGACGCUGAGGGAGCGAAAGCCAGGGGAGCAAACGGG